UGAAGGUGGCGGACGGGUGAGUAACGCGUCAAUAACUUGCCUUACAGACUGGGACAACAUUUGGAAACGAAUGCUAAUACCGGAUAUUAUGAUUGGGUCGCAUGAUCUGGUUAUGAAAGCUAUAUGCGCUGUGAGAGAGCUUUGCGUCCCAUUAGUUAGUUGGUGAGGUAACGGCUCACCAAGACGAUGAUGGGUAGCCGGCCUGAGAGGGUGAACGGCCACAAGGGGACUGAGACACGGCCCUUACUCCUACGGGAGGCAGCAGUGGGGAAUAUUGGACAAUGGACCAAAAGUCUGAUCCAGCAAUUCUGUGUGCACGAUGAAGUUUUUCGGAAUGUAAAGUGCUUUCAGUUGGGAAGAAGUCAGUGACGGUACCAACAGAAGAAGCGACGGCUAAAUACGUGCCAGCAGCCGCGGUAAUACGUAUGUCGCAAGCGUUAUCCGGAUUUAUUGGGCGUAAAGCGCGUCUAGGCGGCUUAGUAAGUCUGAUGUGAAAAUGCGGGGCUCAACCCCGUAUUGCGUUGGAAACUGCUAAACU
RNAcentral lists this ribosomal RNA (538 nucleotides) under uncultured bacterium. RNAcentral's name for it is "bacterial SSU rRNA". It matches the Rfam family "Bacterial small subunit ribosomal RNA", at positions 90 to 642 of the family's 1533-position model. The record is from RNAcentral.